GACAGAGGUGCCGAGCGUUAGGCGGAAUCACUGGGCUUAAAGCGUGUGUAGGCGGAUCGUUAAGUACCUUGUGAAAUCCCACGGCUUAACCGUAGAACUGCUUGGUAUACUGGCGAUCUUGAGCCACCUAGGGGCAACCGGAACAAAUGGUGGAGCGGUGAAAUGCGUAGAUAUCAUUUGGAACGCCAAUGGUGAAAACAGGUUGCUGGGGGUGUGCUGACGCUGAGACACGAAAGCCAGGGGAGCGAACGGG
RNAcentral lists this ribosomal RNA (253 nucleotides) under uncultured bacterium. RNAcentral describes it as "partial 16S ribosomal RNA". It matches the Rfam family "Bacterial small subunit ribosomal RNA", at positions 524 to 776 of the family's 1533-position model. The record is from RNAcentral.